Molecule: ribosomal RNA, 497 nt
Filed under: uncultured bacterium
Lineage: Bacteria
Description: partial 16S ribosomal RNA
Rfam family: Bacterial small subunit ribosomal RNA
Source: RNAcentral
GAUGAACGCUGGCGGCGUGCCUAAUACAUGCAAGUCGAGCGAACGGACCAGGAGCUUGCUUCUCUGUUGUUAGCCGCGGACGGGUGAGUAACACGUGGAUAACCUCCUUAUAAGACUGGGAUAACUUCGGGAAACCGGAGCUUAUACCGGAUAAUAUUUUGCACCGCAUGGUUCAAAAGUGAAAGACGGUCUUGCUGUCACUUAUAGCUGGAUCCGCGCUGCAUUAGCUAGUUGGUAAGGUAACGGCUUACCAAGGCUACGAUGCGUAGCCGACCUGAGAGGGGGAUCGGCCACACGGGAACUGGGACACGGUCCAGACUCCUACGGGAGGCAGCAGUAGGGAAUCUUCCGCAAUGGGCGAAAGCCUGACGGAGCAACGCCGCGUGAGUGAUGAAGGUCUUCGGAUCGUAAAACUCUGUUAUUAGGGAAGAACAUAUGUGUAAGUAACUGUGCACAUCUUGACGGUACCUAAUCAGAAAGCCACGGCUAACUACGUG